RNAcentral lists this ribosomal RNA (999 nucleotides) under Escherichia coli. RNAcentral describes it as "partial 23S ribosomal RNA". It matches the Rfam family "Bacterial large subunit ribosomal RNA", at positions 323 to 1324 of the family's 2925-position model. The record is from RNAcentral. Lineage: Bacteria; Pseudomonadati; Pseudomonadota; Gammaproteobacteria; Enterobacterales; Enterobacteriaceae.
UGUGUGUUAGUGGAAGCGUCUGGAAAGGCGCGCGAUACAGGGUGACAGCCCCGUACACAAAAAUGCACAUGCUGUGAGCUCGAUGAGUAGGGCGGGACACGUGGUAUCCUGUCUGAAUAUGGGGGGACCAUCCUCCAAGGCUAAAUACUCCUGACUGACCGAUAGUGAACCAGUACCGUGAGGGAAAGGCGAAAAGAACCCCGGCGAGGGGAGUGAAAAAGAACCUGAAACCGUGUACGUACAAGCAGUGGGAGCACGCUUAGGCGUGUGACUGCGUACCUUUUGUAUAAUGGGUCAGCGACUUAUAUUCUGUAGCAAGGUUAACCGAAUAGGGGAGCCGAAGGGAAACCGAGUCUUAACUGGGCGUUAAGUUGCAGGGUAUAGACCCGAAACCCGGUGAUCUAGCCAUGGGCAGGUUGAAGGUUGGGUAACACUAACUGGAGGACCGAACCGACUAAUGUUGAAAAAUUAGCGGAUGACUUGUGGCUGGGGGUGAAAGGCCAAUCAAACCGGGAGAUAGCUGGUUCUCCCCGAAAGCUAUUUAGGUAGCGCCUCGUGAAUUCAUCUCCGGGGGUAGAGCACUGUUUCGGCAAGGGGGUCAUCCCGACUUACCAACCCGAUGCAAACUGCGAAUACCGGAGAAUGUUAUCACGGGAGACACACGGCGGGUGCUAACGUCCGUCGUGAAGAGGGAAACAACCCAGACCGCCAGCUAAGGUCCCAAAGUCAUGGUUAAGUGGGAAACGAUGUGGGAAGGCCCAGACAGCCAGGAUGUUGGCUUAGAAGCAGCCAUCAUUUAAAGAAAGCGUAAUAGCUCACUGGUCGAGUCGGCCUGCGCGGAAGAUGUAACGGGGCUAAACCAUGCACCGAAGCUGCGGCAGCGACGCUGAUGCGUUGUUGGGUAGGGGAGCGUUCUGUAAGCCUGCGAAGGUGUGCUGUGAGGCAUGCUGGAGGUAUCAGAAGUGCGAAUGCUGACAUAAGUAACGAUAAAGCGGGUGA